GACGAACGCUGGCGGCGUGCCUAAUACAUGCAAGUUGAGCGCUGAAGGUUGGUACUUGUACCAACUGGAUGAGCAGCAAACGGGUGAGUAACGCGUGGGGAAUCUGCCUUUGAGCGGGGGACAACAUUUGGAAACGAAUGCUAAUACCGCAUAAAAACUUUAAACACAAGUUUUAAGUUUGAAAGAUGCAAUUGCAUCACUCAAAGAUGAUCCCGCGUUGUAUUAGCUAGUUGGUGAGGUAAAGGCUCACCAAGGCGAUGAUACAUAGCCGACCUGAGAGGGUGAUCGGCCACAUUGGGACUGAGACACGGCCCAAACUCCUACGGGAGGCAGCAGUAGGGAAUCUUCGGCAAUGGACGAAAGUCUGACCGAGCAACGCCGCGUGAGUGAAGAAGGUUUUCGGAUCGUAAAACUCUGUUGGUAGAGAAGAACGUUGGUGGGAGUGGAAAGCUCAUCAAGUGACGGUAACUACCCAGAAAGGGACGGCUAACUACGUG
This 497-nucleotide ribosomal RNA is filed under the name uncultured bacterium. Its description in RNAcentral is "partial 16S ribosomal RNA". It matches the Rfam family "Bacterial small subunit ribosomal RNA", at positions 28 to 507 of the family's 1533-position model. The record is from RNAcentral.